UGUAGACGCCGUCCGGGACGGGACGGGCUCGUCCCCUGGAAGCAGCCAGCCUCAUCCCCGGGACCGCAGCCGCUUGCCCUGCGCCUUCCCAGCGCCGGGGGUGCGGAGCCCCGAGGAGCGGCCGGCCGCCCGCCCGCCCCUGCGCUGCCCUCCCCGGCCGCCGGGUCCCGUGGCCCCCGUCGGAGCUGCCCUGCAGCGCCGCAGCCCGGGGGAGAGGCGCUGGUCCCGCGGCCAGCUCCUCGCAGCCAGGCGUGACCCGCAGGAAACGCCGCUUCGGAGCCCCUCGGGGACGUGACUUCCACCCCGCGUAGCUGAGCCGCUGCAGAACAAGCCGGCCCCAGCACCGCAGGAGUGCUUACAGCAGUUUGACUGUCCAGAGAGCAUCCCAGAAAGGAAAUUACUCACUUAACAGCAAUAGGACGUCCUCUGCAGCUUUUUCUCAAUCGCUCUCGCAGACUUGGCUACUGUCAUUAUGCUUGCCUGCUAGCAAAGGGGUAUGAAAAAUGCUAGAAAAAUGCAAGAAGAACCGUUAAACUGUUACUGAAGAAUAUGAGAACACUGAAACAUGAAGAAUCAAUGACCACCUCCAGAUAUCAUUUUCCUGCCCACAGAAUUAAAUAUGUUUUUCAGGU
Long non-coding RNA from Cygnus olor (mute swan), 632 nucleotides. RefSeq lists it as uncharacterized. The record is from RefSeq and is a predicted model, not a curated record. The transcript is spliced from 2 exons. NCBI's taxonomy places the organism in Eukaryota, Metazoa, Chordata, Aves, Anseriformes, Anatidae.